Stegostoma tigrinum is the source of this 279-nucleotide long non-coding RNA. RefSeq lists it as uncharacterized. Lineage: Eukaryota; Metazoa; Chordata; Chondrichthyes; Orectolobiformes; Stegostomatidae. The transcript has 3 exons. The record is from RefSeq and is a predicted model, not a curated record.
CACAGAGAAGCAUUUCAAGAUAAUUGAAUUUUGUGUGCAGAGUUGCACCAACAUGGAGACGUACAGAUUAUGAAAAUACAGUAAAAUAGACACUGUCUUUACACUGGAUGACUGGGUGGUAAGUUGGCAAGAAUCGUGUAAGAGUUUCAGUACCCUGGAGCAAUCUUGCGAUGAUGCCAUGGGGCGGUAUAUAGCCCAGUAUAAAGGAUACAACAUGGGACGAAUUAGAACAUUGGCAUGAACAUGGUGACCAGAACUGUACACGGCAGUGGAUGAAUG